UGGAGCAUGUGGUUAAUUCGACGCAACGCGAAGAACCUUACCUAGGCUUGACAUCUGGGGAAUCCCAUGGAAACAUGGGAGUGCGGAGCAAUCCGAGCCCCAAGACAGGUGCUGCAUGGCUGUCGUCGGCUCGUGUCGUGAGAUGUUGGGUUAAGUCCCGCAACGAGCGCAACCCUUGUCUCUAGUUGCCAUCAUUUAGUUGGGCUACUCUAGAGAGACUGCCGGUGAUAAACCGGAGGAAGGUGGGGACGACGUCAAGUCCUCAUGGCCUUUAUGUCCAGGGCUACACACGUGCUACAAUGGACGGUACAAAGGGUUGCUAUCCCGCGAGGAGGCGCUAAUCCCAAAAAGCCGUUCUCAGUUCGGAUCGGAGUCUGCAACUCGACUCCGUGAAGUUGGAAUCGCUAGUAAUCGUGGAUCAGCAUGCCACGGUGAAUACGUUCCCGGGCCUU
Molecule: ribosomal RNA, 452 nt
Filed under: uncultured Desulfobacca sp.
Lineage: Bacteria; Pseudomonadati; Thermodesulfobacteriota; Desulfobaccia; Desulfobaccales; Desulfobaccaceae
Description: bacterial SSU rRNA
Rfam family: Bacterial small subunit ribosomal RNA
Source: RNAcentral